GGGAUCGUAGUCUAGCUUGGUAGGAUGCCAGCCUUGGGCGCUGGAGGUCGUCGGUUCAAAUCCGGCCGGUCCCA
The sequence is a transfer RNA, 74 nucleotides long. It matches the Rfam family "tRNA". From Rfam's summary of the family: Transfer RNA (tRNA) molecules are approximately 80 nucleotides in length. The record is from Rfam.